Molecule: long non-coding RNA, 352 nt
Filed under: Sorghum bicolor (sorghum)
Lineage: Eukaryota; Viridiplantae; Streptophyta; Magnoliopsida; Poales; Poaceae
Description: long non-coding RNA (SBIC_LNC012809)
Source: RNAcentral
UAGCUCAGUAUACGGGGUUGCUCUUCACCAAGCUGGAUGUUGACGUAGUCUGCUAAGGUUGAUGACGAGUAGUAAAGGCGUACUGAUCCUCCAAGAGUGUCAUGGGUACUUGCUAUUAGAAAGAACACUUGACUGAUGCAGACAACACUCCGACAGGGGACAUGAUGUCCUUCUGCCUAUUAGCUCCUCAUGAUCCUUUAAAGCCUAUGAACCUCAAAUAGACAACAAUGCUUGCAGAACUGAUUACGCGUUAGUGAUAAACCUCUAAGCUUUGGGAGUCUAGAACUUUCUUAUACCCAUUUAUCUUUUAGGGGAUCAAUAUAUUUUUAUACUUUUUAAAUUUAUGGUAUGC